This 939-nucleotide ribosomal RNA is filed under the name Leuconostoc gelidum. Its description in RNAcentral is "bacterial SSU rRNA". It matches the Rfam family "Bacterial small subunit ribosomal RNA", at positions 51 to 975 of the family's 1533-position model. Lineage: Bacteria; Bacillati; Bacillota; Bacilli; Lactobacillales; Lactobacillaceae. The record is from RNAcentral.
AUACAUGCAGUCGAACGCACAGCGAAAGGUGCUUGCACCUUUCAAGUGAGUGGCGAACGGGUGAGUAACACGUGGAUAACCUACCUCAAGGUUGGGGAUAACAUUUGGAAACAGAUGCUAAUACCGAAUAAAACUUAGUAUCGCAUGAUACCAGGUUAAAAGGCGCUAUGGCGUCACCUAGAGAUGGAUCCGCGGUGCAUUAGUUAGUUGGUGGGGUAAAGGCUUACCAAGACAAUGAUGCAUAGCCGAGUUGAGAGACUGAUCGGCCACAUUGGGACUGAGACACGGCCCAAACUCCUACGGGAGGCUGCAGUAGGGAAUCUUCCACAAUGGGCGAAAGCCUGAUGGAGCAACGCCGCGUGUGUGAUGAAGGCUUUCGGGUCGUAAAGCACUGUUGUAUGGGAAGAACAGCUAGAAUAGGGAAUGACUUUAGUGUGACGGUACCAUACCAGAAAGGGACGGCUAAAUACGUGCCAGCAGCCGCGGUAAUACGUAUGUCCCGAGCGUUAUCCGGAUUUAUUGGGCGUAAAGCGAGCGCAGACGGUUGAUUAAGUCUGAUGUGAAAGCCCGGAGCUCAACUCCGGAAAGGCAUUGGAAACUGGUCAACUUGAGUGCAGUAGAGGUAAGUGGAACUCCAUGUGUAGCGGUGGAAUGCGUAGAUAUAUGGAAGAACACCAGCGGCGAAGGCGGCUUACUGGACUGUAACUGACGUUGAGGCUCGAAAGUGUGGGUAGCAAACAGGAUUAGAUACCCUGGUAGUCCACACCGUAACGAUGAACACUAGGUGUUAGGAGGUUUCCGCCUCUUAGUGCCGAAGCUAACGCAUUAAGUGUUCCGCCUGGGGAGUACGACCGCAAGGUUGAAACUCAAGGAAUUGACGGGGACCCGCACAAGCGGUGGAGCAUGUGGUUUAAUUCGAAGCAACGCGAGAACCUUACC